RNAcentral lists this ribosomal RNA (662 nucleotides) under Trichoderma longibrachiatum. RNAcentral's name for it is "eukaryotic LSU rRNA". The stretch from base 279 to 432 matches the Rfam family "5.8S ribosomal RNA". The record is from RNAcentral. Lineage: Eukaryota; Fungi; Ascomycota; Sordariomycetes; Hypocreales; Hypocreaceae.
GAAUGUAAAAAUCGUAACAAGGUCUCCGUUGGUGAACCAGCGGAGGGAUCAUUACCGAGUUUACAACUCCCAAACCCCAAUGUGAACGUUACCAAUCUGUUGCCUCGGCGGGAUUCUCUUGCCCCGGGCGCGUCGCAGCCCCGGAUCCCAUGGCGCCCGCCGGAGGACCAACUCCAAACUCUUUUUUUCUCUCCGUCGCGGCUCCCGUCGCGGCUCUGUUUUAUUUUUGCUCUGAGCCUUUCUCGGCGACCCUAGCGGGCGUCUCGAAAAUGAAUCAAAACUUUCAACAACGGAUCUCUUGGUUCUGGCAUCGAUGAAGAACGCAGCGAAAUGCGAUAAGUAAUGUGAAUUGCAGAAUUCAGUGAAUCAUCGAAUCUUUGAACGCACAUUGCGCCCGCCAGUAUUCUGGCGGGCAUGCCUGUCCGAGCGUCAUUUCAACCCUCGAACCCCUCCGGGGGGUCGGCGUUGGGGAUCGGCCCCUCACCGGGCCGCCCCCGAAAUACAGUGGCGGUCUCGCCGCAGCCUCUCCUGCGCAGUAGUUUGCACACUCGCACCGGGAGCGCGGCGCGGCCACAGCCGUAAAACACCCCAAACUUCUGAAAUGUUGACCUCGGAUCAGGUAGGAAUACCCGCUGAACUUAAGCAUAUCAAUAAAGCGGAGG